Molecule: long non-coding RNA, 537 nt
Filed under: Vulpes vulpes (red fox)
Lineage: Eukaryota; Metazoa; Chordata; Mammalia; Carnivora; Canidae
Description: lncRNA (ENSVVUG00000012407.1)
Source: RNAcentral
GUAAAGAAUUAUUUGGCCCCAAAUGUGUAUAAUGCCAGAGAUGAAAAGCCUUUCCCUAAAGUAUGAAAUAAAUUCAGAACUAAGAAGGCAGAAGUUUUCAACCUGAUGAUGAGAACCAACUUUGCUUUUAUAGAUGCCCAGCAAGGGGGCAGACUCCAUCAUACAGCUACACUGGGAAGCAAUGCAGAAGAAGCAGGGACCAGGAGAAGGCAUGUCUGGGACUAGUAUGAAUCAUCCUGUGGCCAUCAGACUACUAGCAACCAAAGUAAAAUGGCAAAGAUGCUGUAUGUGGAAUGUUAGUGAAAAGGGUCAUAUAAAAAGAAACACAACUGUCAACAUUUCCCCGUGGCACCUUGGAGAAGCUCCUCAGUUCUCCUUUCUAUUUGUCUUCCAGAACCAGCUCACCUGCUUGCCUCAGUCUGUGGUUCAGCCCUCCAUCUGCCUCCAGUAUGGUGGGCUUCUGCGGGCAAAUGUUAAGGCUGUUGAUUUCACUCUUGUUCAUUUGCAGCAUGGUUAGGAAGUACAUGCAUGUUGCUA